This 72-nucleotide transfer RNA is filed under the name Ictidomys tridecemlineatus (thirteen-lined ground squirrel). RNAcentral describes it as "Spermophilus tridecemlineatus (thirteen-lined ground squirrel) tRNA". It matches the Rfam family "tRNA". From Rfam's summary of the family: Transfer RNA (tRNA) molecules are approximately 80 nucleotides in length. Lineage: Eukaryota; Metazoa; Chordata; Mammalia; Rodentia; Sciuridae. The record is from Rfam by way of RNAcentral.
UGGGUUGUAGCUCAGUGGUAGAGUGCUUGUAUAGCAUGUAUGAGGCACUGGGUUUGAUUCUCAGCACCACAU